RNAcentral lists this ribosomal RNA (500 nucleotides) under uncultured Glomeromycotina. Its description in RNAcentral is "partial small subunit ribosomal RNA". It matches the Rfam family "Eukaryotic small subunit ribosomal RNA", at positions 591 to 1092 of the family's 1831-position model. The record is from RNAcentral. Lineage: Eukaryota; Fungi; Glomeromycota.
CCAAUAGCGUAUAUUAAAGUUGUUGCAGUUAAAAAGCUCGUAGUUGAAUUUCGGGAUCAAUUUAUCGGUCGUGCCAACGGUAUGAACUGGUACAAUUGGUUUCUCCCUUCUGAUGAAGCACGAUGUCAUUAACUUGGUGUCGUGGGGAAUCAGGACUGUUACUUUGAAAAAAUUAGAGUGUUUAAAGCAGGCCUUGGCUUGAAUACAUUAGCAUGGUAUAAUGAAAUAGGACGUUUGAUCCUAUUUCGUUGGUUUCUAGGAUCGACGUAAUGAUUAAUAGGGAUAGUUGGGGGCAUUAGUAUUCAAUUGUCAGAGGUGAAAUUCUUGGAUUUAUUGAAGACUAACUACUGCGAAAGCAUUUGCCAAGGAUGUUUUCAUUAAUCAAGAACGAAAGUUAGGGGAUCGAAGACGAUCAGAUACCGUCGUAGUCUUAACCAUAAACUAUGCCGACUAGGGAUCGGAUGAUGUUAAUUUUUUAAUGACUCAUUCGGCGCCUUACG